AGUACUAGGAAGACGAGAGCUAAUGGGCUUUGUUGCUGACUAUAUACAAUACUAUGAUCACACUAAGAAACCUUCAGAAGCAGCAAACGAGCAAGUGCAUUGGCUGCUUGACAAAUU
Molecule: long non-coding RNA, 117 nt
Organism: Exaiptasia diaphana
Lineage: Eukaryota; Metazoa; Cnidaria; Anthozoa; Actiniaria; Aiptasiidae
Exons: 3
Source: RefSeq, a predicted model, not a curated record